Molecule: non-coding RNA, 314 nt
Organism: Leptonychotes weddellii (Weddell seal)
Lineage: Eukaryota; Metazoa; Chordata; Mammalia; Carnivora; Phocidae
Source: RefSeq, a predicted model, not a curated record
GGAGAAUGAGCUUGGAGCGAAGGGGCUUAACCCAGCGCGGCUCAGAGAACGGUGAUCUGUAAAUUCUCAGAGGAUACUGAAGCUUCCUGAAUAUGCCCACUUCUCAAAACAUAAGCAACAAACCAAAAGGACUUCAUGUGAAAUUAUUGACUACUCUGUGCCUCUCAGCCUCAAUUAACCCCUAAUUCUAUGCACCUGGGAGCCAAAGCAAACCAUAAGGAGCCACAAGCACUACCCUGAUGAAGCAUCUCUGGAAGGAGGUCUCACAUGGUGAGACAAGAAGGUUAAAGGGGCUGGAGUGGAGUAAAUGCCAU